UGAAAUUUGAAUUCUGAAAUUUGAAAUUUGAAAUUUGAAAUUUUAGGUUUUUUUUCUUUUUUUUUAGUUUUGAAUAAUCACCUUUGAUCUUUUCUUAAAGUUUUUUUUUUCUUAAAUUUUCAAUUAGCAACAAGGGUUAAUGAGAUAUGAUAACGAUAAAAUUCUGAUUCUAAAAAAAAUAAAUGCUGAAAAUUUAAAGUAGAAAGCAGCAAGGUUUCGUAUUAAUCUGAUGGUCGUAAAAAUGUUAGAAUGUCAAUCCGACCGUUCAGAUUAUCGAACAAUGUGUCUUGCACUAGCUGACCAAAUUUGAGUCAAAUCAGACGGCUAAUUUCUAUGAUAUCAGAGUUUGAUGCAAACUGUGCAGGGAAUUAAAAAUAGUAGUAAAGAUGCAAAUUUUUUUUUUUUCAAAAGAAAAAUACUAACUACUAAGGUAAAAAUUAAAUCUAAAAUUAUACUAAUAACUCAGCCGUUCCCCGGCAACGGCGCCAAAAACUUGGUGCUUUUGAAAAACUGUUCUUCCAAGUGCAGGAGAAUCGCACAAGUAGUAUAACUCGAGAGUCCGAGGUCGAUUCCUCAGGAAACGAAAUAUGGAUUAUUAGCGUAAUUUCAGAUUUAAUAAAUACAAUAAACUUGUGGAUUAAGAUGAUGUUUUGCAAAUAGAAAAUAAAUCAAUAAAUAGAGGAUCGAAGUUAGGAUAGAUUAAGAUGGU
This 709-nucleotide long non-coding RNA is filed under the name Phoenix dactylifera (date palm). RNAcentral's name for it is "long non-coding RNA (PDAC_LNC018983)". The record is from RNAcentral. Lineage: Eukaryota; Viridiplantae; Streptophyta; Magnoliopsida; Arecales; Arecaceae.